CCUACGGGUGGCAGCAGUGAGGAAUAUUGGUCAAUGGGCUUACGCCUGAACCAGCCAAGUCGCGUGAGGGAAGACUGCCCUAUGGGUUGUAAACCUCUUUUGUCAGGGAGCAAUUGGCGCUACGUGUAGCGUUAUCGAGAGUACCUGAAGAAAAAGCAUCGGCUAACUCCGUGCCAGCAGCCGCGGUAAUACGGAGGAUGCGAGCGUUAUCCGGAUUUAUUGGGUUUAAAGGGUGCGUAGGCGGGAGCGCAAGUCAGAUGUGAAAACUCAGGGCUCAACCCUGGGACUGCUCUUGGAACUGCGUGGCUGGAGUGCAGGAGGGGCAGGCGGAAUUCCUGGUGUAGCGGUGAAAUGCGUAGAUAUCAGGAGGAACACCGGUGGCGAAGGCGGCCUGCUGGACUGCAACUGACGUUGAGGCCCGAAAGCGUGGGGAGCAAACAGGAUUAGAUACCCGGGUAGUC
RNAcentral lists this ribosomal RNA (461 nucleotides) under uncultured bacterium. RNAcentral describes it as "partial 16S ribosomal RNA". It matches the Rfam family "Bacterial small subunit ribosomal RNA", at positions 338 to 795 of the family's 1533-position model. The record is from RNAcentral.